AUACGGAGGGAGCUAGCGUUGUUCGGAAUUACUGGGCGUAAAGCGCACGUAGGCGGACUGGUCAGUUGGAGGUGAAAUCCCAGGGCUCAACCCUGGAACUGCCUUCAAUACUGCCAGUCUAGAGAUCGGAAGAGGUAAGUGGAAUUCCUAGUGUAGAGGUGAAAUUCGUAGAUAUUAGGAGGAACACCAGUGGCGAAGGCGGCUUACUGGUCCGAUACUGACGCUGAGGUGCGAAAGCGUGGGGAGCAAACAGGAUUAGAAACCCCAGUAGUCC
This 274-nucleotide ribosomal RNA is filed under the name uncultured bacterium. RNAcentral describes it as "partial 16S ribosomal RNA". It matches the Rfam family "Bacterial small subunit ribosomal RNA", at positions 523 to 796 of the family's 1533-position model. The record is from RNAcentral.